CAAGGCAAACUAGGCAAUCGCUCAAAUUGAUUCAAUUCUAUGAGAGAGGAAAGUCCGGACUCCUAAUGAAUACAGUACCUUAUAAGUAUUUUCUCCAGAAAUGGUGGACAUAACAAGUAAGGGAGGCGUAAGCUUAUGGAUAGUGCCACAGAAAAUAACCGCUACCCCUUCGGGGGAAGUAAGGGUGAAAACGUGCGGUAAGAGCGCACGAUGCGUUGUAGCAAUGUUACGCAGGGGCAAACCCUACUGGGAGCAAGACAAAAUAGGCACGUUCAGUAGUUCAUUCUGGCCUAUUCUCUGUAAGGAGAAUAAAAAACGUGCGGGUAUGUCGCUUAGAUAAAUGAUUGUUAUUUUUAAGCUUUAUCGCUUAAAAAACAGAAUCCGGCUUAUUGUUCGCCUUGAGAA
This 405-nucleotide RNase P RNA is filed under the name Candidatus Babeliales bacterium. RNAcentral's name for it is "RNase P RNA component class A". It matches the Rfam family "Bacterial RNase P class A". Rfam says of the family: Ribonuclease P (RNase P) is a ubiquitous endoribonuclease, found in archaea, bacteria and eukarya as well as chloroplasts and mitochondria. Its best characterised activity is the generation of mature 5'-ends of tRNAs by cleaving the 5'-leader elements of precursor-tRNAs. Lineage: Bacteria; Candidatus Babeliae; Candidatus Babeliales. The record is from RNAcentral.